Molecule: ribosomal RNA, 342 nt
Filed under: Klebsiella pneumoniae
Lineage: Bacteria; Pseudomonadati; Pseudomonadota; Gammaproteobacteria; Enterobacterales; Enterobacteriaceae
Also listed under: 2 other names
Description: bacterial SSU rRNA
Rfam family: Bacterial small subunit ribosomal RNA
Source: RNAcentral
GCAGGCUAGAGUCUUGUAGAGGGGGGUAGAAUUCCAGGUGUAGCGGUGAAAUGCGUAGAGAUCUGGAGGAAUACCGGUGGCGAAGGCGGCCCCCUGGACAAAGACUGACGCUCAGGUGCGAAAGCGUGGGGAGCAAACAGGAUUAGAUACCCUGGUAGUCCACGCCGUAAACGAUGUCGAUUUGGAGGUUGUGCCCUUGAGGCGUGGCUUCCGGAGCUAACGCGUUAAAUCGACCGCCUGGGGAGUACGGCCGCAAGGUUAAAACUCAAAUGAAUUGACGGGGGCCCGCACAAGCGGUGGAGCAUGUGGUUUAAUUCGAUGCAACGCGAAGAACCUUACCUG